RNAcentral lists this ribosomal RNA (398 nucleotides) under uncultured bacterium. RNAcentral's name for it is "partial 16S ribosomal RNA". It matches the Rfam family "Bacterial small subunit ribosomal RNA", at positions 523 to 918 of the family's 1533-position model. The record is from RNAcentral.
AUACGUAGGGUGCGAGCGUUGUCCGGAAUUACUGGGCGUAAAGAGCUCGUAGGUGGUUUGUCGCGUCGUCUGUGAAAUUCCGGGGCUUAACUCCGGGCGUGCAGGCGAUACGGGCAUAACUUGAGUACUGUAGGGGAGACUGGAAUUCCUGGUGUAGCGGUGAAAUGCGCAGAUAUCAGGAGGAACACCGGUGGCGAAGGGGGGUCUCUGGGCAGUAACGGACGCUGAGGAGCGAAAGCAUGGGUAGCGAACAGGAUUAGAUACCCUGGUAGUCCAUGCCGUAAACGGUGGGCGCUAGGUGUAGGGGUCUUCCACGACUUCUGUGCCGUAGCUAACGCAUUAAGCGCCCCGCCUGGGGAGUACGGCCGCAAGGCUAAAACUCAAAGGAAUUGACGGGG